UUAAACUAAGAAAAGCAAAUAAUUAGAAAAGGGUAUUUUAGUAAAUAUUUUGGGUUGGGUUCAAGGUGGGUAAGCCAUUAUGCACCUUUGCCCCGAAUCUGCUAUUGGGUAUUUUAGAUACCCAUGAAUGGCCCUGACUCUAAAUGGGUCAAGAAAACCUGCCCCGUCAGGAUCAGGUUUCCAACGGGAUGGUGUAAAUUACCUCCCCUAAUCUGUUGAGUAUUAAGCCUCCAUAUUCUGGAAAUUUGUGUCUGUUAAUUUAGACAUCUUUGU
RNAcentral lists this long non-coding RNA (273 nucleotides) under Elaeis guineensis (African oil palm). RNAcentral's name for it is "long non-coding RNA (EGUI_LNC000557)". The record is from RNAcentral. Lineage: Eukaryota; Viridiplantae; Streptophyta; Magnoliopsida; Arecales; Arecaceae.